CCCCGUGAACCUUCAGCCUGCUCUCGUAGCCCACGCGGCAACAGCAAUCCCGGUAAAUCAUUGACGACCAGUUUUGAUUCGGGACCUCUGUUACGAUGUGAGAAGUUACAGUUACGAUCGAGCGGUAGAGUCAGUGGCAUGGCGUCCCCAAGCAGAAUCCAGAGAAUGAAAGGAUCACUGGCUGCGCAUAACGCCUCACGGUUGCUAGAGGUCGAUCACCGACCGGCAGACAUGUCACAGGGUCCCCAUGCCCCUUACCUCACCCCAUUACUAAUGACUAGCUUAGCGGUAACGCGCUGAGUAAAAAAAAAACCGAACAACUGUUAACAAUGGAUAUCUUGGUUCUCGCAACGAUGAAGAACGCAGCGAAAUGCGAUACGUAAUGCGAAUUGCAGAAUUCAGUGAAUCAUCGAAUCUUUGAACGCAAAUUGCGCUCUCGGGUUACCCCCAAGAGCACACCUCUCUGAGUGUCGGUUUAACCAAAUGUCACCAAUUUAUUGGUGUACGACAGACUGAGGGUAAGGGGCUUCGGCUUCUUUCCCUUUAAAUCUCAGCCUCACGACUGUGUGUGUUCGUGGCAAGUUGCUUUCACUUAAUUGUGAAUCCAAUCCGCGAACCCUAUGUUGGGAAGCCAAAAGAAACAAAUAAACUANGGAGUGAGCUUGAGGCGCAAGUUUCGAGUGAGCGAUUUUGGGCAUCUAUGAAUUAGACCUCAGAUGAAGUGGGAAGACCCCCUGAAUUUAAAGGGAGGAAAAGAAACUAACAAAGGAUUCCCCUAGUAACGGCGAGUGAAGCGGGAAGAGCUCGAAUUUAAAAUCCGCUGGUCUAACAGCCGGUGGAGUUGUAAUCUAGAGAGGCUCUCUCAGUGCCAGCCUGGUUAUAAGUCCCUUGAAACGGGGCAUCAAAGAGGGUGAGAAUCCCGUACUUGAGCCGGAGCUAAGUACGUACGAGGAGCUUUCCAAGAGUCGCGUUGCUUGGGAGUGCAGCGCUAAAUGGGUGGUAAAGUUCAUCUAAAGCUAAAUACUGGCGAGAGACCGAUAGCGAACAAGUACCGUGAGGGAAAGAUGAAAAGAACUUUGAAAAGAGAGUUAAAAAGUACUUGAAAUUGUUAACAGGGAAGGGGAGUAAACCAGUCAUUUCUAAGCUUCAUUCGCUUUUCUUUCGGGAGGAGUUACUUGAGGCUGAGAAGAGUCAGCAUCACUUAGGGUCUUCGCAGAAAUUGUGUGAGUUGGUGCGUUUCUUCGGAUUCGUUUAAUUCAUGCAACCUACGUUGGCGCUGGGUGAGGAGUGAUAACCCCCCGCCUUCGGGUGUCGGUGCUCUGAGGUCUGUUUGCCCUAGCGCGUGAGAGAACAAAGUUCUGUCUGUGCGAAAGGUGAAUACUGCUUUGGAUGCGCUAGAUGGUG
Molecule: ribosomal RNA, 1404 nt
Filed under: uncultured fungus
Lineage: Eukaryota; Fungi
Description: eukaryotic LSU rRNA
Rfam family: Eukaryotic large subunit ribosomal RNA (bases 708-1404)
Source: RNAcentral